CACGUUCUUCUCACAUAUGAAUUUUAAAUGUCAAAGGGAUUUUGAAAUUAAUACUUUUUAAAUGUAAUUUGGGAUUUUUUAAAAAUAAAAGUGAUUCUGAAAAAUGUAGCAUCAUGAACAUGAAGGAAACCAGUCCCUCUAGAGGAAAUAUUAUAUUUAAUUAUUAAAAAUAGUUAUCACCAAAGUGUUAAAGUAGUCUUAAAUUCAAUAAAAAAUAUGAAGUUUCUGGACAUUUUAGUUCUAUUUUUUAAAGAACUUAUAUUUUUUUAAAAUAUAAAAGAAUGAGGGACCGAUAUCUAAAAAUUCUUUGGCCUGGAGUUCUGCAGAACUUUAGCCUUCACUGCAGCCAUCGUCCUACCGCAGUGAUAAGAAUACGAAACUUUUACACUUAAAAAACUUUUUUUUCUUAAAAAUAAAACUGUCUUUUUUUUCUUCUAGUGAGCUGCAAAAGAUUGAGAUGACCACCAGUUGCUUCUUAGUUCUUCUCAUUGAAGAUAUAAAUUUCAGCAAAUUAACUAAGAAAUAACACAUAACAAGGAGCAAAUUUACACAAAACACACGAUGAGAUAAAAACGGAUGGCUUUAUAAUAUUCAUCACUCGAGCUAAUGUAUGAGACUGAUAUCGAAUUUCGUAUAUUAAAAUAUUACAGAUGUAUUUAAUUUUAGAGCAAAUCUGGUUGAAGAAAGACAGCAGAGAUCUUAUUUUAAAGUUGAAGCUGAAUCUUUUGGAACAUCUCUCCAAAUGUUCUAAGUAUCUAUGAGUGUUUCUAUGAAACUUUCGAGAGCUAUCUCUUUGAGAAGCCAUAGAAAAUGUCAGUUCCUACACUAGCCAGGUUUUCUAAAUCAUAUAGCACCCGGAGUUAUGGUUUCAGUCAGUAAUUGAUCACUCAGCAUGUACAGGAAGACUCUACAGAAUACCUGGUAUCUGUGGAAGAUCUGCCCAAGUCCAAGACUUAAGUUACUCAUUUAAUAACUCCGGUUAACAAUUUGCUUCGUGCCUGAUAAUAAAGAGUUGACAUUACAAUAAUGAACUUCAAAAUCAAGAGGCUUUCCAACUGUUAGCUAUCCUACAACUUGGUUCAUCGUUGUUUUUUUUUUUUUCUCUCCCUCAAAUGAUCAUUUAAUUUUACAGUUUUGUCCUUCAUCCUUCUAAGAAGAAAAAACUUCAGCUUAGUCUUGACAGAAGACUGAACUCUUUUUUUUUUUUUUUACUCCUGAUGUAAGUGACACUACUCUCCCUACCGUUAGCUUCAGAAGGGAAGCAGAUUUCUUACUGUACAACAAGAACACAGUAAAACCAUCCUGAUACGUACGAACUUGGGGGCAGUUUGGCCACCUCACAACACGCUCCAACGAAACGCGAUGACGGUGGGGCCACUCACCUAAGCAAUGGGAGUUAAGAAGAAUUUAGAGCUGCUGCCUUCUGAUCCCCAGCAGAGGUCCAGGCCCCUUCUUGACCUCCCCGCGUCCCUUAUAUAAAAGCAGCCCUGGCUACUCCCAGUUACAGCCUCCUCACCUUAGGCUCCUCCCCAAUCCCAAGCCAUAAAGCACCGGAGCUACACACCCACCUUCCACCCCCACCAGGAGGACUGCAGACUCUGGCGGCCUGUCCCUGUGCUCGCCCCCUCGGUGGGACUGUAGGUCAGCUGUUUCUGUGGGUUUCCCCAGCAUGGUCUUGACCCCUUUUCAAAUCACUCCUCCCUCUCUACAACUGGAUUCCAGGAGUUCAGCUCAGUGCUUAGCUAUGGAUGUCUGCUUCUGCUUCCAUCAGCUACUGGAUGAAGGCUCUACAAUGGCAUUUAAGGAAGGAGACCUGCACAUGUCAUUCACUAAGGAGAAAGAGCAGAGAAAGUCCAAUCCGGGAGAAACUGAUGAUGGGCGGAGCUCGGUGUCAGGGGAUUUUUAAAAAAAACAUCCAAAGAUGGAGCAAUGGCUCACCCAUUAAGAGAAUGUGCUGCUCUUGCAGAGUUCAGUCCCAGCACCCACAUCAGGCAACUCACAACUGCCUAUAACCCCAGCUUCAGGCCUCCAUGGAUACCUCAUUCAGAGGUAAAUACUCAAACACAUACACAUAAUUAAAAAUAAUAAAAACCAUUUUAUUGUUUUUUUU
Molecule: long non-coding RNA, 2110 nt
Filed under: Cricetulus griseus (Chinese hamster)
Lineage: Eukaryota; Metazoa; Chordata; Mammalia; Rodentia; Cricetidae
Description: lncRNA (ENSCGRG00015042966.1)
Source: RNAcentral